Molecule: ribosomal RNA, 1042 nt
Filed under: Tulostoma punctatum
Lineage: Eukaryota; Fungi; Basidiomycota; Agaricomycetes; Agaricales; Agaricaceae
Description: eukaryotic LSU rRNA
Rfam family: Eukaryotic large subunit ribosomal RNA (bases 623-1042)
Source: RNAcentral
UAACAAGGUUUCCGUAGGUGAACCUGCGGAAGGAUCAUUAUUGAAUAAACUUGAUGGGUUGUCGCUGGCUCCUAGGAGCAUGUGCACACUUGUCAUCUUUAUCUAUCCACCUGUGCACCUUUUGUAGUCUUGGAUUAAUGAGCGCGUGUUCAGUACUCGCGCGAGUUUCUCUGAGUCUAUGUCUUUCAUAUACCACAUAGUAUGUUUUAGAAUGUUGUUAUUGGGUCUUAGUACCUAUAAAACACAAUACAACUUUCAGCAACGGAUCUCUUGGCUCUCGCAUCGAUGAAGAACGCAGCGAAAUGCGAUAAGUAAUGUGAAUUGCAGAAUUCAGUGAAUCAUCGAAUCUUUGAACGCACCUUGCGCUCCUUGGUAUUCCGAGGAGCAUGCCUGUUUGAGUGUCAUUUAAUUCUCAACCCCUCCAACUUUUGUAGUUGGCUAGGUGGCUUGGAUGUGGGGGAUUAAUCUUGCGGGCCUCUUUAGAGGUCGGCUCCCCUGAAAUGCAUUAGUGGAACUGUUUGCGGAACUGUCACUGGUGUGAUAAUUAUCUAUACCAAGACAACCGCUCUCUGGUAAUUCUGCUUCUAAUUGUCCUUUACUUGGACAACAAUAUCUGAAUGCUUGACCUCAAAUCAGGUAGGACUACCCGCUGAACUUAAGCAUAUCAAUAAGCGGAGGAAAAGAAACUAACAAGGAUUCCCCUAGUAACUGCGAGUGAAGCGGGAAAAGCUCAAAUUUGAAAUCUGGCAGUCUUUGGCUGUCCGAGUUGUAAUCUAGAGAAGCGUCACCCGCGCUGGACCGUGUACAAGUCUCCUGGGAUGGAGCGUCAUAGAGGGUGAGAAUCCCGUCUCUGACACGGACUACCAGGGCUUUGUGGUGUGCUCUCAAAGAGUCGAGUUGUUUGGGAAUGCAGCUCUAAAUGGGUGGUAAAUUCCAUCUAAAGCUAAAUAUUGGCGAGAGACCGAUAGCGAACAAGUACCGUGAGGGAAAGAUGAAAAGAACUUUGGAAAGAGAGUUAAACAGUACGUGAAAUUGCUGAAAG